Molecule: ribosomal RNA, 1287 nt
Filed under: Rhynchocypris lagowskii (Amur minnow)
Lineage: Eukaryota; Metazoa; Chordata; Actinopteri; Cypriniformes; Leuciscidae
Description: partial 16S ribosomal RNA
Rfam family: Bacterial large subunit ribosomal RNA
Source: RNAcentral
CAUGAUUUAGCCAGCACCCCCAAGCAAAGAGACCUUUAGUUUGAUACCCCGAAACCAGGUGAGCUACCCCGAGACAGCCUAUAUUAAUCUAGGGCUAACCCGUCUCUGUGGCAAAAGAGUGGGAAGAGCUCCGGGUAGAAGUGAAAGACCUACCGAACCUGGUGAUAGCUGGUUGACUGAGAAAUGGAUAGAAGUUCAGCCUCGUACACCCCAAACCAAGAAAUGUUAUCGCCAAGAUAUUUAGGGAAACAUACGAGAGUUAGUUGAAAGGGGUACAGCCCUUUUAACAAAGGAUACAACCUUUACAGGAGGAUAAAGAUCAUAAUGUAUAAAAUAUACUGUUCUAGUGGGCCUGAAAGCAGCCACCUAAACAGAAAGCGUUAAAGCUCGGACAGAAAGAAGUUUAUUAUAUUGAUAAAAAAUCUUAUUCCCCUAACUAUAUCAGACCAACCCAUGCCCACAUGGAAGAGAUUAUGCUAAAAUGAGUAAUAAGAAGACCCGCUCUUCUCCCAGCACAAGUGUAAACCAGAUCGGACCAACCACUGGAGCUUAACGAACCCAACCCAAGAGGGUAGUGUGAUUAAGAGAGAACACGAGAAGACCUCACAUUAAUUGAUCGUUAACCCCACACUGGAGUGCUAUUUUAAGGGAAAGACUAAAAGAAAGGGAAGGAACUCGGCAAACACAAGCCUCGCCUGUUUACCAAAAACAUCGCCUCCUGCAACUAGACUGAGUAUAGGAGGUCCAGCCUGCCCAGUGACUACGGGUUCAACGGCCGCGGUAUCUUGACCGUGCAAAGGUAGCGCAAUCACUUGUCUCUUAAAUAGAGACCUGUAUGAAUGGCUAGACGAGGGCUUAACUGUCUCCCCCUUCCAGUCAGUGAAAUUGAUCUAUCCGUGCAGAAGCGGGUAUAAAUAUACAAGACGAGAAGACCCUUUGGAGCUUAAGGUACAAAAUUCAACCACGUUAAACAACUCUGUGAAAAGCAAGAACUUAGUGACAAUGAAAUUUUACCUUCGGUUGGGGCGACCGCGGAGGAAAAACCAGCCUCCGAGUGGACUGGGCCAAACCCCUGAAGCCAAUAGAGACAUCUAUAAGCCGCAGAACAUCUGACCAAAAAUGAUCCGGCUAAAAAGCCGAUCAACGAACCAAGUUACCCAAGGGAUAACAGCGCAAUCCCCUCCCAGAGCCCAUAUCUACGAGGGGGUUUACGACCUCGAUGUUGGAUCAGGACAUCCUAAUGGUGCAGCCGCUAUUAAGGGUUCGUUUGUUCAACGAUUAAAGUCC